CCCCCCCCAUGCAUGCUAUCCGCGUUGUCCAAAUACCUCCCAAACGUACCAUCGACGUAAAUAAACAGAUCAGAGACUAGACUCAAGCGCUGUCGACAUACGUACUACGUCACAAUAUAACCGCAUCACACAAGAUAACACGCAAUAUUUUUGCGCGGUAUGCAAAGAAAUGGAAAAAUCUCGAAAACAAAAAAUAGGACAAAUUGAUAUGCAUAUAUUUUUGUCAUAUGUUAAUAUCAUGUCAUUACAAUAUCACAAACAUCAUUAUGAAUAUAUGAAGGUUAUGGAAUGUUGAGUAUUUUGAUGGAAUCGAAAUUUGUGAAUGAUGAAAAGGCCGUUAAUUUUCGGGUAAAUUGAUAUUGCGCAGACUGGACGGUGGUGUAUUUACGUGGCUUUUUGCAUGGAAGUAUUAUACUGAUAUACGGAAACGUUUCGCACAGUUUUUUUUUUAAGAAAAUGCAAUAAGAACAUUCCGAAUCAUAUCAAACGAAAUUUUUUAUUAUACCAAACAAAUUUAGAUUAGGAAGUUUCCGUUAAUAGAGGUAAAUCUAUCAAACUAUUUUGUCAUUCGCGGAAAGAUUUUGUGCAAAAUGGUUGAGCGUGGGCAGCUUUCGUAUAAAUACGAAGCGAAUUUCGGAGCGUCAGGCGAUUGCAUGACUGUCGUGUGACCGCGUGUUUCGCCUGUCUUCUUUCUGUCUUGUUUGGCUAUAUUUUGAUAAGAUGAAUUUCGAUUUCUCUCAUUUGUAUCUCAAAUUUUCACCUAAAGUUACGUUGGUUAUCAUCUCUGCUGAUUUUGUAACGUAAGGUUAUUCCAUAUUCUGAAGUGUUGAACUGAAAGUAUUGAAUUCCGCAGCCCAUUUCGGGUCGUCUUUUCGUUCGAUUUUUCGUCUGUGAUGGACUGGAUCAGCUGAGAUCUGAGCAAUGUUUUUUGAGCAGUUGGAUGGGGGGGGGGGGGUUGAUUUAUUGGGGCAUAUGCCUGUGCCAUAUUACGAUUGAAUUCGAAAAUUAUAGGAUUUUGAUCAUGCAAAGUCAGUUUUAAAACUUGGGCAGGUCUAAUUAAUGGCAGUAAUUUAGGGAAGUGUGAGAAAUGGUAGAAAUUGCUGUUGAGAGUGGCGAAUGAGUCCGAUGUCGAUGACAAGAUGGAGUUGGAAUCUGAUUAGGACAUGAGAUGAUGUGGAUGGAUUGUGGUUGAACUGGAGACGGUGAAGACGAUUGGACUUAUGGAACUUUGGAAGGAAGUACCUGCAAAGACGUGUGAAGCAGUUCAAGCGGAUUAGCAUGGAGUACCUAGGCUUAUCCCAUUGAGUUAUGAGUUCAAGUAAAACAGGAGGGAGCCGCGAGAGAGACCAAGUCUGUAAACAGAAUGAGCAUCAGUCCAUCAUCCUUUAAUUCUUUCAAGGCUUAAUUCCAGCAAGGGUUUGAUAGUUACAAUAAGAGUAGGUCUACCUUGUCCAAAAUCCUGUAAUAUAGAUCCGUGAUAAUAUCCUCUGCGAUUAAUAAUUCUUUCACAGAAGUAUGUCAUUGUAUCUUGUAUGGAAGUAUAAUAAAUAAGCCUACUACAGGGUAUUGCCAUGUUUAGGCCCCCUUAUUUUAUACAAUCUGAAAAUUCCUGCAUUUUUUUGUCCUUGUGUAAAGUGUUUUGUGUCCCCAGCGUAUACUUUUUGUACCUUGAAACAUCUUGUUCUAUUUUAUUAUUUGAGAAAAUCUUGAUAAAAUUACUAAAACAGUGCUAUCAAAGUGUAGAAGUAUAAAAUUGUUAAGGCCUAAUCAUACUUCACUUUGUGAAGGGUCGCAUGCUUUGUUUUCUGUUUCGUUUUUUUGUGCACCAAUAGUGGAGCAUCUGAGCUUCCAAGUUUCUGCUUGGCUCCAAGAUUUAAGUCAUAACUACAAGCUAUUGGCUAUGUCCUGAAUUAAGACCAGAAACAAUACACACCUGGACCUGCAAGCUUUUUUGGAAUUCGUGAAGCAAGUACAAGGAGCUGAAAAAUCAGAAUGCAAUGCUUUUCUCUUUAGGAAUCUUUUGUGAUAUUAAAGGAAAUUUUCUUCUGGAUUUCGCGCUCCAACAUCUGGGCAUAGUGACAUGGUGGGGAAGUCGGUUUCUCUUUUUUCUCUUUAUUUACCUCCAGGAAAUUACAUGAUUGAUACAUAUUGGAAUUUUAUCAGGAACCAGUUUUCUUCUACUGCUUUCUUCGCAAGAAAUAUGUACAGGUUUUUGUUUUCUCUACCUUGUCCAUUACCAAUUGAAAAGUCUUGUGAAAAUUGAAAAAUUAUUCGCUAAAAUUCAGGAGAAACUCACAAAAUUUCUUCAGAGAAUCAACUUAUUCAACAAGGAAAUUCCUUUUGGAAUCUUCUUACAUCUCAAUUUAUCUUUUGUGGUACUGUUUUAUUGUGAAGAUUCUGCUCAAGGUGAAUGAAAUGCAGGGAAAAAAUGGAAUUUAAAUUUUUGUUUUGAACAAGGUGAAAAUCAGUGUUUUUUUAAAAAACUGAAAUACCUCUCAAACUCUGGGAUCAACAUGGGAUGGGGUUGUUUUCCUUUUCUUCCUUUUUGUUUUUUCCAUUUAGAAGUACCUCACAAGGAUCAAGUUUGCAUCAUAUUCUCAAGAUUUUGAGUCCUGUUGCAUAGAUGCCACAAUACUACUUAGGAGAGAGAACACAGAUACAUUCUGUAAGAAGUAAUGCAUUAUUUGAUCAGAAGCCCAGUUUGGUUGAAAGGAUAUGUGGAAAUAUUUGAUCUGAAAGCGAUUGUGAAUUAUUGACUUCAAAUAAAAAAUUUUUUAAAAAUCCUUUGAAGUGAAUUUUUUUAAAACAAAACCAUGAUAAGUAUUUUGCGUUAAACUACUGUUGGAAAAUGAUGACUGUGAAAUAUCUCUCAAGCUCAGGGAUCAAUGUGGGAUAGGGAUGUUCUUUUUCUUUUCUACAUUUCGUGUUUGCCAUCUAGAAGCACCUCACAAGGAGCAAGUUUGCAUCAUAUUCUCAAGAUUUCAAGUCGUGUUACAUAGAUGCCCCGUUGCUUAGAAGGAAGCACAGUUAAACGCUAGUAAGAAGUAAUGCAUGAUGUGUUUGUUCUGAAGCCAAAAUUUUGUCGACAGGAAAAUUUUGUUGAAAUUUUUGAUCUGAAAGCGAUUAUGAUUUUUUAUUUCAAAUCCUCAAGAUGUUUUUGAUGAGGGAAACUUAUGUUCAAACAAGAUUAUCAUGUUUGCGACCAACUUCUGUUUUGGAAAAUGACAACUAUGAAAUAUCUCUUAAGCUCUAGGAUCAAUGUGGGAUAGGGAUGUUCUUUUUUCCCCUUUUCCUGUUUGCCAUUUAGUAGCACCUCACAAGGAGCAAGUUUGUAUUCUCAAGAUUUCAAGUCCAGUUACUCAAGGUGCCCCGAUGCUUAGGAGAAAGCACAGUUCAAUGCUGUAAGAAGUAAUGCGUGAUGUGAUCAGGAGCCUAAAUUAGUUGGACAUUUUUCUUGAUGAAAUAUUUGAUCAAAACGUAGGUGUGAUUAAUUACAUGGACAAAAAUGCUUGUAAAGAAAAAAAAAUAUAAAUACUAAUGGAUGAUUUGAUCAGAAGCCCAGUUUGGUUGAAGGAAUAAGUGGAAUAUUUCAUCUGAAAGCAAUUGUGAUUUAGUGAUUUGAAAUACGUAAAUGCUUUUCUGAAGUGAAAGAAGAAAUUUAAGUGAAGCUUUGUUCAAACUAGAAGAAAAUCAUCAGUAUGUUUGUGAAACUUUGGAAAAUAGCAACUAGGAAAAUAUCUCUCAAGUGCAGGGAUCAAUGUGGGAUAGGGAUGUUCUUUUUUUUCUUUUCCUGUUUGCCAUGUAGAAGUAUCUCACAAGGAGCAGGUUUACUUCACUUUCUCAAGAUUUCAAGCCUGUUUGCAUGGAUGCCCAAUACUUAAGAGCUAGAAAGGAGCACAAAUAAAUGCCGUAAGGAGUAAUGUCGUGUUCAGAAACCCAGUGUGUUUGGAAGUAAAAUAUUUAUGUUGAAAUGUUGGUGACUAAUUCAUUUCAAUGAAAAAAAAAUCCUGUAUGUAUUGAAAAAAUGGAAUGGAAGUCCUCUUCGAAUUCAAAUUGAAAGCAAAUAAAAAUUGGAAGUGAAAUAUUGCUGAUUUCGUGUGCAAUGGAAAGAUCAAUUUAAAACUGCAAUAUUUGGAAUGCCCGAGAUAAAGGAAUCAGUGUUUUGUGGGUGGAUGGGGAUUUUUCUCUUUCCCUUUUCUUAUUUGCCAUCUAGAAGUAUGUUGCACCAAGCCAGUAGCGUCUAUUGUACAACCAUAUGUGCUAUGUCCUGCUCAAGUCUAGGUUCGAGACCAGAUGGAAAAUUCAUCUUAGGAUCUUUGUAGGAGCGUGUCCUCUUAAAUCUUUGCCAGUGGGAGCAUAAAUAAAGCAAUUGUUCAAGCCCCCCGGUACAGCCAUCAUCCUGUUAUGGAGUAGUGUUCCUUCUGUGACCUCUCUUCCUUUGGCCUUAUCAAGACCAGUGUCAUCUGUAAAAUAAGCAGUUUGCAAGGUAUCUAAUGUAAAUGUCCUGAAACCAGCAGUUUUAUUUUAAAAGAACCGACAAAAAUCACUAACACAUUUGUGAAUAUUUUGUAAAAAAAAAAGAAAAGCAAACAAGAUGAAACAAACAUAAUAUAAAUUGUAUAUUUUCUGUAAGUGUACUUCUGUAACUUGCAUUUUGGGGAUAUUUGACUGGGAGGGAAGUCUUUUUCCUUUUUCCCCUUUUGAUAGUUUUUAUCCAGGUUAUAUUGCUGUUCAAGCACCAAAGUGAUGCAGGUCUUUUGAGGAUCACACUUUUCAGCUUGCGAUCUGGAAUCUUCCCAUUGGAAGUAACAGAGAUGGAGUAGUUUGGUGGGCAGUAUUUUUAUUUAAUCCUUGAGCCUAGUUAUUAAAAUUUUAAACGAGCAUUAAUCAGUCUAUCCGUCUAUGUUGGAUCCAGUGUUAUGUUUUGCUUCUGAAAAAAAAAUCACUAAUAAUGGAUAAGAUAAAAAAAUGAUAUCCGAAUGUUCUCAUUUUCCCCCAAAUCGUUAAAGUAUAAUUGUUCAAAUUAAAAUUUUCCAGAUUAUAAAUUCAUGUAGUAAGCAUUUUUAUGGGUAGCGAGAUCCUGCCACGUGGCAGUCGACAUGUAUUUUUCCUAAGCCCUUUUCUAUUCAGCUUGAUCUGGAAUCAAAGAAUGCAAGUGACUUUCCUACCAACCAUCUACAGGCAUAUGGAAUAGAAUACCAAAUAAUAAAGCGGAGGUGAUGUACGUGAUGUGUUUUCAUCCUGUAUACAUGCAUGUUUUAUUGGGUUACGCAUCAAUUUUUCUUUUUGUGCUUUUUAAACAGAACUUUCCAAAGUCUGACUUCUUUUCCGAAAAUUUGAAUCUUCUGUGGCGCUUGCCCUUAGUUUGCAUUUGCAACUAGUUGAACUAGGUUUUUUUUUUCCAUGGAAAGAGGGAGGGGGGUAUUUAUCAUGAUCCUGCCUCUGGCAGUUUUUGCCUCUUCUACCUUUGUUUUGCAGGGACUUGAGAUUUAUUUUAAAGUGUGGAAUUUGUUCUUGAACAAGCUCCUUGGAUGAGUUGAACGUGAUAGUGCAUGGACUUUUCUCUUCCAAGUUUUCACUGGUAAUCGGUCUUCGUGAAUGGGAACAUUUGUUAGGUUACAUUUUAUUAGAAUUUAUGUGAAGAAUAUAACUUUAACUUGAUGAGAUUGUAGUGUAAACCUGAAUUGCAACUUUCUGUUCAUUACACAUGUGUACUACAAACUUGAAAUGGCAUUGGCAAAACCAGAGCAGUAAAUAUGAAUGUUAAUCAUAACCCUGCCUAUGGCAGUUGUGUUCUCCAGUCUUUUCCCCAAUUUCCUCCCGUUUAUCCACGAGUCAUGCAGGAAUUACCUGACAUCAUGAAAGCAAGGGAAAAAAAUCAAGAUUGUGUGUGGCAAAGCAAGUGUCUUCAUGUGUGUAUGGUUCGCAAUGGCAACUUAGAAGGUGAUAGCGACUGUUGGCCAUCAACUGGUGAAUUUCUAAAAAUGUAUUUUCAUAUGUAAUCGCUUAUCUUGUUAUCACAAGCAAGUCUUUGAAAAAGGAAUCUUAGUUGAAGAAAAAGGGAGUAUUUUUAGUUUCCAUGUAUUUGAAGAUAUGAGAAAAGUAAGCACUGUUAGUGCAAUAUAAACUUUUUCACAAAAGUGAGCAUUUUUUGUAGAUAUAUUUAUAUGUAGAAAACUGCAUAUUUUUCUGUCGAAAGGCAGCAUGUUUUCUCUCCUCUCAGUAUUCAUGCAGGAACAUAAACCAAGCAAGCAUGUUGCUACGCCACUUAUGUGCUUCAUUACCAACCAUUUCAAAGUCGGCAACCCAUGUACUCUUGCUUGACAUUAAUCGGCUGGCACUUUGCGAAACACCAUGUAGCGGUAUUGUUGCAACUGUUGUAAUGAUCAUAAUCCAAUUGUUUCUACAAAUCUUUCACAAUCAACAAAUUACUAAUUGUACUCAAAUGCCUGAUGCAGUGCGAGGAAUGAAAAAAAAAUUUAAUGUACCCAUCUACCUCAUAUAUGUUGUAAUGCAUUAAAUUAAUAACAUUGGUAAAUACAGUAGGACAUCCAUUUAUACAUCAAUUAUUUUUCCAUUCAAUUAAAAUUGAGGGGGUGGGGUGGGCAUGUUUAACAUUUAGCUUUGCUUUCCCCCAUUUUCGUCUGUUCUCAAUUAUGCGAUACAGGAUUUACCAAGUCCACUUCAUAAUCUCAAAGAGAAUUCAAGCUUCGCUUAGAUGACAGUGGUAACCAGCAACAAGUGUAACCAUUUCAUAUUUUCCCAUUCUAUAUCGAUUUUUUUUCCUGAAAAAGUACACCAAAAAAAAAUUACAAUAAACCUAACUCUUACAUGAUAUUGGAUUUCAUUUUUGAGCAGAAUCUUUUUUUCCAUGAGUGAAUAGAUUUUGAAUGUUCAUUGAUAUUGGUAAAAAUAUGGUUCUACAUGAUUUAAUAAAAGUUGAGAUUUGAAAAAAAAAAUUUCUCUUUAAUAUGAAUAUCAUUUGCUUCACAAUUUUUUGGAACUUUACAUGAACUUGAAUUAUGUUUUGUGGGACUUCGCAUGCAGCCAUUUUGGCUGUCAACAUGUGUUCUUGUUUUUCCUCUUCUGUCUUUUUCUCUGCGCACAUGCUUUAGUGUUCCUUUUGGGUAAAGGUGUAUAUUCCAUCACUCUUGUAUAGAACAAGUUCCGGCCCCAAGAAGGCAUCUUCCACCCAUGCCAUCAUCAUAGCACCCCAAGAAAGCUUCACCCAUCCAUGUGAAAGGUUUUGAUUAAAGUACUAUGGUAUAUUUUUUCUUUUCCAUGAAUGACCAACUUUUGUGCAUUAUCUCAUUGAUCCUUACUGUUAAAUGAAAAAAAAAAUCAAAAGCAGACAACCCACUUAGAAUUUGAAUGAAUAUCAGAAUAGUGCUGCUGGGUUUGGGCUGUGCAUUUCUUUUCAUGAAUCCAGCAUUAGCUUUGUUGAUCGCGUGAAAAAAUACAUUUGAACAUGUAUGUAGAAAAUAUCCACUUAUAAAUAUAAAUAUGUUUUUAAGAUUUUGUGGGGCAUAGGGUGGGCAAAGUGUUCUUUUUCUCUUUCUCUUUGCGUUCAGGUGCUUGUCCUGAUGCCAACUUUGUUUGCAACCCAUCAUUGUAAAGAACUGUUCUGCAGUGAAGUAACAUAUAAAGUGACUGUCGAAGGUGACGUCUUUUGGAACUUUGUGUUUAAUACAUUAAAAAGAAAAUUAUUUUUGCAUAAUGAAAGUAUAUGUAAUACUUAAGGGAAAAAAGAAAAAAUUGUCUUGCCAUUGGGCAUUCAUCACCAUGUACUUUGAGAUUCAUUUUUCUUUAACAUUCUGUAGCACAUUUUACAAAACGUUUGACCUAGAGUUCUAGACAUGAGCUUGUGAGGGAGGGAUGGGUUUUCCUUUUCUUUUCAUACACAUAGAUUUUCCAAGGAUGCAUCAUCUUGGCUAGUCGGACUAUUGUACUUGACUGUUUUUUGAGCUUUGGGAUGCUGAGACUGCGUUUGUGGCACCAUAACAAAUGUGAUGUAAUCAAUAUUUGUAGAGUUUCUUGGACUUGUAUGAGAUAAUUUGUAUCAAGGGAAUAUGCGAAUGGUCUUAUAGUUAAAGUGAAAUGAAGUUAAAAAUGGCAUGAAAAACAAAAUCACAUAGUAAGUUGAGUUGCGUAUUCUCAAAAUGAAAUUUGCAUAAGUGCUUCAUGAUGCUUCUGUAACAUUUCUGUUUUGAUAUAUAGAAUCGUCUACUCAAGACUAAAUGAUUCAGCAUUUACAGAAUGGGGAAAGUUGUUUGUGUUGAAAUUUAAUUCAUAACCUCUUAAUGUGCAUUCUGCUAUGUGCAAAUUACUGUGAAUUGUGAAGAUCCAUGCAUGAAAGUUAUUGCAUUUAGGGGUUUUUAUUAUUUUCCAAGUUAAUUUAAGAAAUAUACUUCAUGUAAUGCACCAUUUAACAAUCUUGGGGGUUGACCCCAUGUAGGGUUUAAUAUCUUUAUCUCAGUCUUUGUUUCUGCUAGAAAUAGAUGCCUUUAAACCUUUUGCACCCAUGCAAGUGUUCCACGAUUACCACCAAGCUACAUGUAUCUGCCAAUCAUCUUCAUUCUAUUCCCAUAUUGCCGUUUAUGAUAACCUGGUAUGGUAUUUUAAUCUGGUAAAUUAAUAUAAUUUAAAUCUACUUCUGUUUGCUUUCUGUGAUUAUAAAAUUAGUUUGAUCAUCAGUUUGUAAUCCUGAUUUGCUGUAUUAGUAACUGUUAUAGCGUAGUUAAAAUAUUACUUCAAACUAUAACCCAAAGCGAAUUCACUUUUUGAAGUUCAUGUGUACGACAUCUCAUUUUCAAUUGAUUUAACAUCUUUAUAUUCUUGUUUGGUUUAUGGCAUUUGCUGUUUGGUCAUGAAUUAUAUUUUACUAGUAGUUCAAUGUUUUGGGGCAGGGAUGUUUUUCUUUCCUUUUUUUUCUGACAUACUAGCAGGGUUGACCCAUCACAACUUAAGUCAUACAUCAUGCAACCUAUUCUACCAUCACGCUUGUUUGAUAUUCGUAAGACACCUCCAUUACUGCUUGUAUCUGACAAAGACAACGUCCUUCAUAUCAGUGGCGCACCGCGAGACACAUCUCACCUGAAAUGGUAUUUGUGGUCUUUAAUUCCAUUUUUUUCUUUUCAUAAUAUUUGAACAUUGUAUUUAUUUGUUGUGUUAAAUCUGCUGUUAUCUUUAUUAAUCAACUAAGCUAAACCAUUUUAGUAUAACAAAGCACUAUUUAAGUUUUGAGCACUGAGAGAAGAAAAAAUGCUCCUCUUUGAGGUUGAUCACAAGGUUACAAUCGGCCCAUGCGCUGGGGCUUAUUUUUUUUUAACUGUGGAAUGUGUAUCUCCCUUUUUUUCCCCCUCGAAUGUUUCUAUUUGCUAAGCAGCAUUUAAUGUUAUUGGAGAGAUUGUGCUGUCAAGGAGUGCUUCAUGAUGGAGAAUGGUGUUGACUGGUCUUGGUAUGCCUGAUUCAUGGAAUUUUCUGUAGAUGAAGAGCAAAGCCUGUCCUAAUCCUGAACAUGGUCUGCUUCACUCUGUCCUGCAACGCAAUGCACAGAAAUUGUAAGCUUUGUACCUGUCAAAGAAAAUUCACAAAGAAAGAAAUGUUACAAAUUGUGUGGUUUAAAUAUUAAUGUUCACACUGAAUAUUUACAUUUUUGAAAAUUUGUUAAAAUUUUUGGAAGACUGUUCUUUUGUGAGGUUUUUUUUUUGAAGUUAUUUGUCUGGCACAUAUGUAUAUUUCGAAGAAAAAAAAGGCUUUUUUCCCCUGUUCAGUAUUGUUUCUGUAUUAGAAUGUAUACUUUCUCUGGAGGGGAAAAGCUCUAUCAAUCUGAACCUGUAUCAGUUCCAGUGGUGCAUGAGAUUUCUCCAUGAUAUGACCGGUUGAUCUGUAAUUGGCUGUAAGCUGCUGUCCAUGUGCUGUAACAGGUUUUUCACAUAGUCUUUGAGUGAGGGAGGAAGCUAUCAAGCUACAGGUGAUGUAAGUUGAAGUGGUUUAAAGUAUCAAGAGUUGUAUGUGCAUGUUUUCUCUGUGCAUAGAAACCUUUUUUGCCCAUACAGUGCAAACAUAUCCAAGCAUUGGUUCACACCAACCCAAUGAUAGAGUGCUACACUGGUGUAAGAAGCCUGUUAAGGUGACGAGAGCUGACGGGGGAAGAGAGAGAAUUGCGUUGGCCAUGCCAGCUUGUUGAGCUGUAGAGGGAGAUGUCUGUGAAAGCAAGUGCCAAGAGGGACUACACUAGCUCUCCCUAGGGUUAUGUUCUCACCACUACCACCUAGCUGAGGGAGGGGAGCCCAGGGGUGUCCAAGGUCUAGGUUUCCACAGCCACUAGGGUCAACUCUCUAUGUGAGUCUGAGGGAACUAUUCCUGGGAAGGAGGGAACAUCCGGGGUCCAAGAGCUUCAUCAGUCUGGGACGGUGGGAGCUGAAGGGGUCUGGUGUCCAGGGAGUCUAGGCGGUUCUUGGUGGUGUCCAGGGUCUGGCGAUAGUUUCCAGGGUGUGACGGUGUCCUGGGAUCAUUGGCGGCAGUUUCCAGGGAGCAACAGCGGUGGUGUCCAGGGUCUAGUGGCGGUGUCUAGGGUCCAGUGGCAGCAGUUUCCAGGGAGCAGCGGUGGUGUCCAGGGAGCAGUGGCGGUGUCCAGGGUUCUGUGGCGGCGGUUUCCAGGGAGCAGUGGCGGUGUCCAGGGUCCAGUGGCGGCGGUUUCCAGGGAGCAGUGGCGGUGUCUAGGGAGCAGCGGCGGUGUCCAGGGUCUUGUGGCGGUGUCCGGGUACAAGGGUGGCGUGAUUUCUAGGGUCAAGCGGCGGUGUGCAGGGUUGUAUGGAUGGUUUCCAGGGAGCAUCGGUGGUGUCCAGGGUUGCAGACUUGCAGUGGGUUUCCAGAAGAAAAUGGUGGUUUCCAGGAUUGGGUAGUAACAAAGACUAACCAGAGAUUACUGCAAAAUAUUGGAAUUUUUUAUCGAAUUGCCUUUUGUAUGGAUUAAUAUGAUUGCUUUUUACCAAUCCAUUGGCUUAAUACUAGCAUCCAUGUCAUGCUGAAACAUUCUUUUGCAAAUUUGCUGAGUAGAGGUUUUCCUCUGAUCUGGUUUGCUCAUUUUUAUUCGCAAAGAAAAUUAUACAUUACAGCUCUCAUUUCACUACCUGAAUACUGAAACAAAAAAGUUCUUAAUAGCCGAACUUAAAAUUUGGAAUAAAAAAAGUGACCUUCAUAAUGAUUUUUGUCACUGAACACAUCAAAUUAGAUUACAAAAAAAAAUUGCUAACAAUGCAUUUCUCUUUCAAGGUUGAAAAUUAUUCCCCUUAUAAAAUGUUUCUUUGGGUUAUGUCAUCAUUUUGAUUGCAAGCCAUUUUAUUUCAGCUCUUAUAAUAUUUGGAUACAGAUGUACAAAAGAGACAAGGUAUAUAUUUGUGUAAAGAAAUGAGUAGACUUCAAUAAAAAAAAAUUUCGGUUGAGAUUCUAAAAUUAUUUCUAUUCAAAAUAUUUCUUUGAUUCAAAGAAAAGACUUAAAAAAAGAAUUGUACUUCACCAUAAAUGUAAACUUAACGUUUGUGAGUAUUCUUUAUAAGAAUGCAUUGAAGUCGUUUCAUUUAUGAAACAGUGAUUUAUUUGCAAGGAAUUUGAUUCAGAAAAAUAAUUUUAUCUAAAGUUCAAAUAUAUGUAUUUCAUUAGAAUUCACAUUUUUGUAAACCAUAGAAAUUGUAGAUGCCGUGUACAAAUAGGGUUUGAAGCUAUUUUUUUUCGACUAGACAACAUAGAAACAGUAAAUUCCUGCAUUUGAAGUAGUCUUCAAAAAAUUUUCUGUCAAAAAGUUUGAUACACAAAAUACAGGUAUUAUGCAUCUUCAAAAACACAAUGUUAUAAAAUUACUAGUAUAAGAAUGUAUUUAUAAAGUAAAAAAAAAUAAUGGCUUUGGUAAACUGAUGUCAUUGGGGUUACAACCUCUUUUUUCAAUUAGACAAUUAUUGAAGAUAAAAAGCACAUCAAACAGUUGACCUGCCUGCAUUUUCCAUUCAAGAUUUUGCUGAAAUGAUAUCUCCUAUUUAAUUCAGAGGCUCAAAAUAAUGUUUAACAUCUUCAUCUAUUACGUGACCAAUGAUUGCUUUCAUUGAAGUGAAGAUGAAAAGCUAGCAUUCUGAAAAUAUUAAAAUUUUGGAAAUUUGCUUAAAUUCAAUAUUUCCCCCAUUUUUACAAGAACCUUAAAUUGCUUGAAGCAUUGAAACUGAAUAAUUGGCAUUUUAACAAAGUAUAUUUUCUUAUUUUUAGUUCUCACAAUUAUGGCAACUUUAAACAUUUGACAAGGGGGGAAUUCUAUUCAGAUUACCAUAAAAAUUGGAAAAAAAACCUCUUGAAUGUCUCUUGUAGUAAAAAUAAUAUUUUUGGUCACUAAAGCUUGUAGAAACUACAAAGGUUGAGGUGAAUUCUUUUGUAAAUAUUAAUUGAAUUGUAAGGAAAAAUAACUUCUAAGUUCUCAAUGAAAUUUAUUAUAUAAGAAUUAGUCUGAAUUCAAAACAAAAAUUACCCUACCCAUUUUAAAAGGGUAGGGUAUGGAAAAGUUUCUAUUUUUGUAAAGAAAUAAAUACACCAACAAAUUUCAGAAUUGAGAAAGAUGUUAAUUGGUAUAAAAGCCCAUAGAAACAUUUUGUGCUAUGUAGAUGUAAUUAAUACAAAAUUAUGAAGGAAAAAAAAUAUUUUUAGAAGUACCAUUAUUUUGUUAGAAGGUAUGUUAUUCUAAUUGUUCAAUGUGACUGUUUCUAUCUUUCUAGAUGAAAAUAAAGAAUAGAAUCCAGAAAAAUGUCAAAUCUCAAGCUUCAAAUAUGGGAAAAAAUGUUUAAAUCAUUGGAAAAAAAAUUAACUUGAAAUUUAGAUUAUUUUUUUUGUUAUGUAGGGAAAUGCUCUAGUUUCGAGGUGUGAUUUUGAUAUUUUUUAAGUGAACGAUUUUGAAAUGCAAAGAUGUAUUCUAAAUGUAGAUUAAAAUGUGUAACUUAUUUUGUAUCUUAUCAAAAUCAACCAGCCAAAAACUACUUUUUGUUGAGAAAGUGUGAACAUCUAUAUUAUAUGAAAUGUAAUUAAUAUAAAUCAGUUGCCUUAAAUAUUGAAAAUUUUGAAAAGCCAACAAAGCUUAUGUGUAUUGCUACAAGAAUUGGAAGUUUCCCAAUCUUAAGACCAUGUAUAAAGUAAAGUGACAUUGAUUUAUUUGAAUAUGGAAAAAAUAUUUGCCCCUUUCCAUGCCAGAUGGGUACACAUUUUCUUUUUUAAAUAAUAUGUCACAGAUGGUUAGAAAUCUUUAAAUAUCCUUACAUUUGGUUGAAUGGUUUCUGUUUUCAAAACCUGUUCAUGUUACAAUUGUCUUUGAAACAAGUCUUAUACAAGCGAUCUAAUCUUGAUUAGCGAAUCAUCAUAAUGUAAAACGGGUAUCCAAUAAACGUUAGGUGUACCGGUACAUGUAUAUUUAAAAUAAAAAUCUGUUGGAACACAGACUUCAAGAAUGUGAAAAAAAAGAGCUCUGAGUAAAACAAAAUACAUAUUCAAAAAUGAAGUUUAAUAUGAAUUGCAUAGUUAAAAAAGCAAAGAGGAAUUGAAUUUCUAAUUAGAAAUUGUUAAUGAUAUAUUGUUAUUUGCCAUUCAUUAUUCAAAAGUUAAAAUUUGUCACUCAUUCUUCAGUGCAAUUAGAAAAUCCAAUAAUGUCAAUAAUUGUAUUAGACAAAAACAAAUAUUUUAUUGAAUUGCAGAACAAAAUGAUUAAAAACAUUGAGCUCUGAGUAAAAACACAAUACAUAUUUAAAAAUGAAGUUUAAUAUAAAUUGCAUAGUUGAAAAAGUAGAAGUACUUAUUUUGCCAGGUGAUAAAGCAAAGAGGAAUUGAAUUUCUAAUUAGAAAUUGUUCAUGAUAUAUUGUUAUUUGCCAUUCAUUAUCCAAAAGUUAAAAUUUGUCACUCAUUCUGCAGUGCAAUCAGAAAAUCCAAUAAUGUCAAUAAUUGUAUUAGACAAAAACAAAUAUUUUAUUGAAUUGCAGAACAAAAUGAUUAAAAACAUUGAGCUCUGAGUAAAAACGCAAUACAUAUUUAAAAAUGAAGUUUAAUAUAAAUUGCAUAGUUGAAAAAGUAGAAGUACUUAUUUUGCCAGGUGAUAAAGCAAAGAGGAAUUGAAUUUCUAAUUAGAAAUUGUUCAUGAUAUAUUGUUAUUUGCCAUUAAUUAUCCAAAAGUUAAAAUUUGUCACUCAUUCUGCAGUGCAAUCGAAAAAUCCAAUAAUUUCAAUAAUUGUAAUUGACAAAAACAAAUAUUUUUUUGAAUUGCAGAACAAGAAAUGAUUAAAAACAUUUUAACUGAACUGCAUUAAGUACUACUGUACUUAAUCUUGUGUGUGGAAAAGCCAAAUUGGCACUUGGUUAAUUGUCAUUUAUGUCAGUGUUCUUGAUAAUGCCUUAUCUGUUCAAUAGUGAAAUGUCGGAUUUGUGAAAUUUUAUUUUGUUCGGUAUUCACUUGAUUUAUCGUUGGAAAAGAAAAAUUUGUUAGAAGUCCUUAGGACAUUUUACAUUAGAAUUCAGUUUGAUAGAAAUACAAAUAUUGUUAUGCAUCUUCAUUUUGAAAAAAAAACAAUGCUUUAAUAAGGUAAAAAUAUUCUUGGCCUUUUUGGUAAAUUGAUGUGAAAUACCAAUUGAGUUACAAGCAUUUUUUUUUUUCAAGUAUGCAUUUUUUUUUCUUGUAUACAGUUGACCUUCAUUGAUAAUUUUCUGUUCAAGAUGAUACUGAAAUGAUUACUCCUAGUUUAAUGCAGAGACCAAUAAUAUCUAUCUCAAAAAAUGAUAUCUAAAUUGUGAGUAUUCUUUAUAAGAAUUAUAGAAGAUAGUUUUCUAUUUGAAAUGUAUAUUUGACUUUGAAUUCAGAUUUCUUAUUACAUGCCCAAUAAGUUGAAGAUUAAAAGCUAGUAUUUUGGAAAUUUAGUUUAGACAUGUUUUUUCCACCAGUUUUUGUCAUCUAAAGUGACGCGUAAGAAAUUGUGCUAUUUCCUUACAUUUGGUUAAAUGCUUUCUUUUUUUUCAAAACCUGACUUUUAUGAGUUCAUGUUACAUACAAAUUAUUGAAACAAAUUUUAGACAAGUGAUCUAAUUUGAUUAGUGAAUCACUAUAAUGUAAAACAGGUAUCUAGCUAUCGUUAGGUGUACUUUUAUAUUCAAAAUGAAAAUCUGUUGGAAAACAGACGUUCUUCAAGAAUGAAUGAAAAAAUAGCUGUGAGUAAAACAUAUUUAGAAAUAUAAAUUGCAGUUGAACAAGUUGAAAUAUUUAUUUUGCCAGGUGAUAAAGCAAAGAGGAAUUAUAUUUCCAAUUUGAAAUUGUCAUGAUACAUUGUUAUUUGCCGUUCGCUAUUCAAAAGUUAAAAAUUUCUGCAGUGCAAUUGAAAAAUAAAAUCAUUUCAAUAAUUGUAGACAAAAACAUUUUUUGAAUUGCAGAACAAAUGAGUGGAAAAACCAAAUAGGCACUUGGUUGAUUGUCAUUAAUGUCAUUGUUCUUGAUAAUGCCUAAUCUGUUCAAUAGUAAAAUGUCGGAUUCAUGAAAAUCUUAUUCUUUUGUUCGGUAUACACUUGAUUUAUUGUUGAAAAAGGGAACUAAAUUAUAGUAUAUGUCCUUGAGACAUUUUACAUUAGGAUUAAGUUUGAUAGAAAUGCAAAACAUUGUUAUGAAUCUUCAUUUUUAAAAAUGAAUUAUUAAAGUAAAAAAGGAUUGGCCUUUUUGGUAAACUAAUGUCGAUUACAAAUUGGUUACAAGCACCUUUUUUUUCAACUAGGCAAAUUAAAAACCAAUCAUUUUUUCAUGUGUCCAGUUGACCUUCAUAUACAAUUUUCUGUUCCAGGGUCUAUAAAUUAUAUUUAGUAUCUUCAUUUCGAAAAAUACGAAAUAUUUAAAUUGGAGUAUUCUUUAUAAGAAUGUAUUGAUAGUUUUAUAUUUAUAAUGUAUUUUUGACUUACAAUUCAGAUUCAGACUUUUAUAAAGUUCAUGUUACAAAUUGUCUUUGAAACAAAUCUUAUACAAGUGAUCUAAUCUUGAUUAGUGAAUCCUAAUCGUCGGGUGUGCAUAAUAAUGAACAAAAACAAAUAUAUGGAAAAGCCUAAUAGUCACCUGGUUAAUUGUCAUUAAUGUCAAUGUUCUUGAUAAUACCUGACCUGUUCAAUAGAAUAAUGUAAUUUGUUCCAUACACUUGAUUUCAUGUUGGAAAAGAAAAAAAAAUAUUGUUACAAGUCCUUAGGACAUUUUACAUUAUAGUUCCUGAUGCAUUCUUCAAUCCUCUGGACUAUUAGUCCUUGUUAGCAAUAUUGCGACUGUCAAAGUUUACUUUAGUUUUCCUUAUUUUACUGUUUUCUCUAUACUAAAGUAAUUGCCCUAUAGGCAUCCAGUGGACAUAUUUAAAUUUCAUUUGGGAUUUGUUUUUAAGUUUUUAUUCAUGUUGCAACUUGGUCUGUUCAUGUUGAACAUUUUUUUUAAUAGCUACUUGCAUAUUUUUUCUGAUCUGACAUUUAACUCUGUACUACGAUCAGCUUUACUUUUCUCUGUCAAAAUCUUAUUUCUAUUUGAACUUUUGUCAAUUCUUUUUAAAACUAGUUGGCUGUACGCUGCAUCUUGGCGGUUUUUCCUGGCUUUUGUCCCCAAAGUAAGGGUUUUCCCAGGUUUUUUCACUGUCGGGAUGCAGCUAUUUGGCAGUCAAACGGUUCCCCCUUUGUCCCCAUAUUCAACAUUGUUAGUCCCUGAAAUAUUUUUAUUUGAAAAAAAAAAUUGAAAUGAAACUGAAAAAAAAAAUCCUGUUUGUAAUUUUGCUGUAUCGGAAGCCACUUGUGGCAUUACACUUUACAUAAUAAAAGAAAUUAAACAGGAA
RNAcentral lists this long non-coding RNA (16860 nucleotides) under Lytechinus variegatus (green sea urchin). Its description in RNAcentral is "uncharacterized LOC121418514". Lineage: Eukaryota; Metazoa; Echinodermata; Echinoidea; Temnopleuroida; Toxopneustidae. The record is from RNAcentral.